This is a long non-coding RNA of Clupea harengus (Atlantic herring), 1122 nucleotides long. The record is from Ensembl. Lineage: Eukaryota; Metazoa; Chordata; Actinopteri; Clupeiformes; Clupeidae.
GGCGAUUCGGUGUGAACUGAUCACAUCCACUACUUCUAUCCUCUUUCUGUACUUUCUUUUUUCUUUUUUUUUAUCAGUUCAUGACUUCACAGUUUGUUUUACAAUACAAUGUUCACCACACUCUUAUUAGACAGUCCAUCUCAACACACAUUUUUCUCUGGAAUACCAAAGACCAUGUCAUUCAUACCUUUUGUGUUUCUUGUCUGAUUUCAGUGUGGCCUAAGCAAGACAUUUUCCGCCACAUCUCCCACCAAGUCCAUACAAUACCUCCAUGCUCCAUACCUGCUGCCAUCUCCAGACAUUAUGUGCCACAAAAAAGGAUCACAGAUGUGACAAGCAGUGUCUUUUUGUGGAGUCUCCCAGGAUUCGGCAUGGCGAGGCCCAGACUUGGCAGCACAAUCCUGAACUCACUGAGGAGCUUUUGAAGGCUUUUUUCCUGCAAUGUAUAUGGAAAGGAUGGAGACAUACCAAGGACCUGGAUGACAAGUAAUAGAACAUAACGACAUCUGUUUUCAUGAGGAAAUAAGAGACACAAAGCAAGAUGGAGUCACUCUUCACACAAGUGGAGCGAGAGCCAUGAAGACUUACUCAAGAAAAGUUCACCGUGUACAGACCCAUUCUUUAAAGAGGACACACGCGAGGUCUGACACAUACACUUGUCACCUCCUUGAACAGACUUUUGUGAAAGGCAAAGAAGGUUUAGAGCCAGAAACAUUUGUUACUUCCAGUCGAUUUGUCACUUCCAGUCAAACUGAUAAUUACAGACAGUCAUGCUAAUUAAAACUUGCCUGGGCAGUUGCAUAAAAAACAGAUUACAGACAAACGGCUGGUGUCACUGCAGUAUUCACACUCUUCUCUCUCUCCCGUGCACUCCUUUCUUUUCCUUCCUCUCCUCCUCCUGCUGCUGCUGCUGCUGCUGCAAGGCUGGCCUGUUCAAAAGGACUUGACAUUAUCACUGUUUGCACAAGCAAUAUGAAUACAAAUAAAGAAAGCAAAAGUGAGUAGUUGUUUACUUUAUUUGACCUGACUUUCUGACAGUACAGUAAAUGCCAACAGCAAUUUCAGGGACAAUUUAAAACUGGGAUUCAAUAGAACAUGUGUCAUCUAAAGCCUCAGCUCUCU